UUCCACAAAUAUCAUUAUCAAUAUCAAUAUUCACAAAAUGGUUUACAAGACAAAUAAUAUUUUGCUUAUCAAACUUUCUUUACUUGUGCUUCUGAUGAUUUUCUCAGAGGUUGCUGGUAGGGACAUCCCUGCUCGUCCUUCACGUCCAUUACUCAAAUCAAAUGAAGCUCAGGACACAACUGGGACGUUGAAUGACCCAAUUAAGCCCCAAUGGUCGUGGGACGAACUUGUUGAAUAUUCAUAUUGCUCAGUGUACAAUUGUUGUGAUUCCUGAAAACCGAAGGAUCAUAUUUCUCCUUAAUAUACUAAAUAUAAUACUUUGUUAAAUAACAUGAGAUUAGAUCAAGAACUAUUACUUUCUACUUUUCUCAUAAUAUAUAACACGAGUUGUUAGAAAAAUUAUUUAAAAAAAAAAAAGAAGAAGUUGCAGUGUUUACAACUCGAAUGUCUAUAUAUUAUUGUGCAUAAAGGCAGAGUCAAGAAUGCCUUUGUACUCCCUAGCUAAAAGAAUUUAUAUACGGAGUAUAAUGUAAGCUACGAGUUUAAAUAAAGGAAAAAUAGUAAUGGUUUCUCCAUUUGCUUUU
Molecule: non-coding RNA, 584 nt
Organism: Nicotiana tabacum (common tobacco)
Lineage: Eukaryota; Viridiplantae; Streptophyta; Magnoliopsida; Solanales; Solanaceae
Source: RefSeq, a predicted model, not a curated record